CAUCAGGAUUUAUGCACGAGGAGCAAAAAGAGGAAUGUAGAAGUCAUACCUACCAUAACUGCUUGGCUUCAGACUCCAUCGUUAAGGUGAAGCUCUUUUAUUGAUGAUUGACCGACUUGAUUCGAUCGGAGCUCCACUCUUCUUCUGUUUCUUCUUUUGACAUUUUUCUUCUAUCUGACGUCGGUCAGAAGUAGCUGUAUGCAUUUU
This 207-nucleotide long non-coding RNA is filed under the name Elaeis guineensis (African oil palm). Its description in RNAcentral is "long non-coding RNA (EGUI_LNC074056)". The record is from RNAcentral. Lineage: Eukaryota; Viridiplantae; Streptophyta; Magnoliopsida; Arecales; Arecaceae.